GCCCCGGCGGGCGCCGCUGCUGCUGCUGCUCCCGCACCGCGCCCUUCCCGCAGCCCCGGCCCCUCACGGCCUUUCCUUCUCCCAGGACAACGGAGCAGCUGCUUCCAUCUUCCCAAACACCGGCUUCGUGCACCGCGGCACCCCGCAGCCAUUGCUGCCAGCUGUGACGAGGGCUGAUCAUCCCCAGGAGUUCUCUGGCUCAAGGUACAGUUGACCUCUUAGAAUCAACUGUGGAAACGACCCACUACCAUUGUGCAGGAUGACUGAACCUCUUGGGAGAGAAAGGCAAUGCCAUGUUUUAUUACCUGCAUAAUCAAUGUUAAGGUUCUGAAGCAAAUAGCCCUCCUUGGACUUCACCAGACACUCAACUGGGCUUUGAGUAAAGUUGGUGAUUGCCUCCAAGUGACUCAGCAGUGACCCAGACUUUGCAAGCAAGAAGUAGAAAUAACUGUAAUGCCUUAUGGGCUUGCAAAACCUGUCCAACAGUUUUGCCUUUUUUAACGCACAUUUCAAUUUGAUGAAAGAUGGGCAAGGAGCAGAAAAAGCACACAUAAGGUAGUAUAGGAUUCUCCAGAGAGUGGGUGAUCUUACAGACUACAUGAGUAACAAAACACCAAGAUGUAAUGAGCUGAGGGCAUAGGCUGAUUGCCUGAGCGCUGAAGGGAUGACAACAACACCCAGCUGCCACUACUCCUAUCAGCAGAGGACCUGUAAGGAUAACUGGAGUUCAGGGGAUGCUGCAGUACCAUAGAAGAGGGUAAGGUAGGGUGGGACCAGGGGUACAGCUGCCCAGGCAUCUCUGUGUCCACUGAGAUACUGCACAGGAAAUUAAGUGUGGCAGUUGAGAAGUGAAAAUGCUUACAUCUGUGUUAGAGAUUGUGUGUCUGAAGCACAACACAUCAGCAGGUGGCUGAGGAGUUGGAAGUAACAACCUGAGAGAUCAGACUGUAGAAGUGUUAGAGGAGGCUCGAGGGAAAAGAACUAGAGAACAGAUCUGAGGAUAUGAAGACCUGUGAUAACAACUCAAAAAAUAUAUUCGGGUUAUGCAUCUGUUUAACAAAUUAAGAUGCCUGAAAAUAGACUGUCUGAAUACUUUGUAAUAAGUCUAGAAGAGUGUAGUAGGGCCAACCAAGUCAGCAUCAGAAAUAAUUAUAGGUCCAACAGUGAGACCAUCACAAUCUACAGACACUCUUGAGGCAAUAAGAAUACAAUGGUUUGGUUUGAAAGUGACCUUUAAGGUAUUCCAGUUCUAAAUCCUCUCCUGUGGACAGGGACAGCUUCCACUAAACCAGGCUGCUCAGAGCCCCAUCCAACCUGAUCUCGAAUACUUCCAGGGAUGGGGCAUCCACAGCUUCUCCAGGCAACCUGUUUUAGAUAUUCUGUGCUCUUAGACAAAUUGUGUGUAAGCCUUUGAGCAUAGAAUCUUUUGUUCGAUGGCAUGAAGGAUCUAAAAACUGGUUACAUGGGCAAACCUGGCCCUUUGGUGUUUUGGAUAUGAUGCACAAAACUUUGAAGAAACAUAUUUCUUAUUGCACAAUAUAAACCAGCUCUCCCAAGCUAAGUCAUAACUGAUUGAGGGACACCCAGAGCUUCUAUUUCCACUUAACAACUAGGAAACUAUUUUCAGCAAUUUGUGUGUACUACAAAGCUACCCAAACCAAAAACAUUGUGCAUUUUUAGAUGCUGUAUAAAAAUUAGUGCCGUGGGAUGUGUGUGGGAAAUAACCAGUACUUAAAGUUGGUAAUUAAAAUUAUUGA
This is a long non-coding RNA of Passer domesticus (house sparrow), 1757 nucleotides long. RefSeq lists it as uncharacterized. The transcript has 5 exons. Lineage: Eukaryota; Metazoa; Chordata; Aves; Passeriformes; Passeridae. The record is from RefSeq and is a predicted model, not a curated record.